CCGCGCCCGCUGCGCGG
RNAcentral lists this ribosomal RNA (17 nucleotides) under Giardia duodenalis. Its description in RNAcentral is "Giardia intestinalis partial small subunit ribosomal RNA". The record is from RNAcentral. Lineage: Eukaryota; Fornicata; Diplomonadida; Hexamitidae.